This 492-nucleotide ribosomal RNA is filed under the name uncultured bacterium. Its description in RNAcentral is "partial 16S ribosomal RNA". It matches the Rfam family "Bacterial small subunit ribosomal RNA", at positions 29 to 507 of the family's 1533-position model. The record is from RNAcentral.
AGUGAACGCUGGCGGUAGGCCUAACACAUGCAAGUCGAACGGCAGCACAGUAAGAGCUUGCUCUUACGGGUGGCGAGUGGCGGACGGGUGAGGAAUACAUCGGAAUCUACUUUUUCGUGGGGGAUAACGUAGGGAAACUCACGCUAAUACCGCAUACGACCUACGGGUGAAAGCAGGGGAUCUUCGGACCUUGCGCGAUUGAAUGAGCCGAUGUCGGAUUAGCUAGUUGGCGGGGUAAAGGCCCACCAAGGCGACGAUCCGUAGCUGGUCUGAGAGGAUGAUCAGCCACACUGGAACUGAGACACGGUCCAGACUCCUACGGGAGGCAGCAGUGGGGAAUAUUGGACAAUGGGCGCAAGCCUGAUCCAGCCAUACCGCGUGGGCGAAGAAGGCCUUCGGGUUGUAAAGCCCUUUUGUUGGGAAAGAAAAGCAGCAGGUUAAUACCCCGCUGUUCUGACGGUACCCAAAGAAUAAGCACCGGCUAACUUCGUG